CCUACGGGUGGCAGCAGUGAGGAAUAUUGGUCAAUGGGCGAGAGUCUGAACCAGCCACGUAGCGUGAAGGAUGACUGCCCUAUGGGUUGUAAACUUCUUUUAUAUGGGAGUAAAAUGUUCCACGUGUGGGAUUUUGUAUGUACCAUAUGAAUAAGGAUCGGCUAACACCGUGCCAGCAGCCGCGGUAAUACGGAGGAUCCGAGCGUUAUCCGGAUUUAUUGGGUUUAAAGGGAGCGUAGAUGGAUUGUUAAGUCAGUUGUGAAAGUUUGCGGCUCAACCGUAAAAUUGCAGUUGAAACUGGCAGUCUUGAGUACAGUAGAGGUAGGCGGAAUUCGUGGUGUAGCGGUGAAAUGCUUAGAUAUCACGAAGAACUCCGAUUGCGAAGGCAGCUUACUGGACUGCAACUGACAUUGAGGCUCGAAAGUGUGGGUAUCAAACAGGAUUAGAUACCCUAGUAGUC
Molecule: ribosomal RNA, 460 nt
Filed under: uncultured bacterium
Lineage: Bacteria
Description: partial 16S ribosomal RNA
Rfam family: Bacterial small subunit ribosomal RNA
Source: RNAcentral